Camellia sinensis is the source of this 896-nucleotide non-coding RNA. The record is from RefSeq and is a predicted model, not a curated record. NCBI's taxonomy places the organism in Eukaryota, Viridiplantae, Streptophyta, Magnoliopsida, Ericales, Theaceae.
UAGGAAAUUACGACGUUUUUUUUCUGACGUUUUUUGAAAAACGUCGUGAAAUCUCUUAUAAUUUUUACUUUUUGAGCAAAUUUAAUUAUCCCAUCUUGUUUUGUGUGCCGUUAUUACAAAAUUGUGAAAUAACAUUUAUUUGUGAGGGAAGAGGCAAGACUUCUCUGAUCAAAGCAGAGGCGUGACUUCAGAGAACAGAGCGUGACUUUUGAGAGAGAGAGAGAGAGAGAGGCAGAGAGAGAAAUCAAGGCCUUGGAUCUUCCAUCUCCAUCGAUUCUUUGGUUGUAUGAUCUGGAAACUCUUGUUCUACACUUGAUUUGAAUGUUUGUCUGUAAUAUCGUUUGAAUCCCUCUUAUCUAAGUCGAUCUAGGGCUCAAGGUUUUGAGUGCCAUGUUAAUGUAUCUAAUCAUGUACAAGAUAAGCAAGCAGUGUUGGAUCUGGAUCGUUAGCAACAGUGAGUAGAAGCAAGCACAACGACGUAGAGAUGUAGAUCUUAUUCUCAGAUCUGCUCUCUAUCCCAUCAGAUCUGCUCUCUCUGUCUCUCCGACCUGCUAUUAUGGUAAUAUCAAAUCUGCUUUCUCAAUCUCUCCGAUCGAAUUUCACGUAUUCUCUUCAUUGCUCUAUGAGAUUUGGACCUCUCUCCCUCUCUAUUUUUGAUUGAAUCUCAUUAUCUUUCUCACUCUAUCACAUUUUCCUUAUAGAAAAUGUCAAAACAGUUUCUAAAAUUGGUGCUGGUGACUAGUUCGUUGGUGCUCUCCUAUGCAUGUUGAUGAUGACCGAUUUGUAGUUGAGAUUAUUGAUGAAAAGUCUUCGAUUAAAAAGUAUCAAAGAGAAAUAUCAAGCCUCAAACUAGAACUGGAUCAGUCAUGAGGAGAUUAUUAGCUUAAGACAACAGG